UUAAUGGUAUAAUUUUGGAAUCGUUUUUGUAAUUAGUUUUUUGUGUAAGUGAGUGAGUGGAUAAGCUGGACAACUGUCUGCUAAGAAAUGCUGCCUAUUCAGCCAUGUUCCAAUGAAGGUAAUGGCUAUUUGCUGUGUGGACAGUGUGUGCUGUUUAAAUAGUUAUUUGUGUAAAUAAUUCUUGAAGUGUAGUUAGUGGUGUAGACUAGUAGGUUUAUGUAGAGGUUAUGUAAGUGUCUAGCCUACUCAUUUCACAUCUUUCAAAUGGUUAAUCCAUAUAGACUUGUUAACAUGUACGUAGAAUAAACCUACUCCUAGAUUAAAGACUGUCUAGGACUAGGUUUAUUCCAUGUGCAAGAAAUCAACUCCAUAUGGAUUAAUCCUUCAAACGAUGGAUGAUUGAGGAGGAGCGCAUGCCCAUCCAUAGCAAGUGUGCAUGCCCGUCCUCAUAGGUGGUCUCGCUACUGAUUACUUUACUAUCCCGUCAGGUGCCAGUGUUCUGAUUAGGUCUACGGCUCUGGGCCUACUUAUCAAACCCAGCUGACUCUUUAUGAUGCAACAAUGCAAGGGACACACACACACACACACACUUUGUGGUUUAAUAGAUAUAUGUUUGAUUUUGUUCAUGAAUCUCACUUGAACGUCAUCUGUGCUCUGUUCUUGAACACACUCUGCGGUUGCAUGUGCUGUAAAAGAAUGCCAAAGUUUGCGGUUUAUGUAUGGCAAACAGAAUGCAGUUUGUAAUGUUGCUUGUUUUAAAAUUAUUGUUGCUGUCUGUUUAUUUGACUUGUAUAGGUUUUUUUCUCCAGAUGUAUGCAGACCUCACCUCGUCAUGCUCAUCGGUCUGUUCCUGGCUGUGUUUCUUUCUGUCAGAUGGACCUGGGACCUGUUCCUGAUAUAAACCAAAUGUAAUGUAACUUCUUUCAAUGUAUUGUUGUUCUUUAACCUGUACCUGUCCUUUUUUCAGUUGUGUAUUGACCUCACCUCUUCAUUGUCCACCAGUUCCUGACAUUCAGACUUGUUUCUGUUUUUGAUUGUGCUACCUCACCUGUUCACUGUCUUCCACCAGUUCCUGCCUUUCAUUGAGUUCUGCACUUAGUUCCUGUUCCUAAUAAAACAAAUAAAAAAAGACUGAUAACUCCA
Molecule: long non-coding RNA, 1143 nt
Organism: Perca flavescens (yellow perch)
Lineage: Eukaryota; Metazoa; Chordata; Actinopteri; Perciformes; Percidae
Exons: 2
Source: RefSeq, a predicted model, not a curated record